Molecule: ribosomal RNA, 314 nt
Filed under: uncultured bacterium
Lineage: Bacteria
Description: bacterial SSU rRNA
Rfam family: Bacterial small subunit ribosomal RNA
Source: RNAcentral
CUGGAGUAAUACCGUAUGUGGUCGAGAGACGAAAGAUUUAUCGCCAAAGGAUUGGCCCGCGUUGGAUUAGGUAGUUGGUGGGGUAAUGGCCUACCAAGCCGACCGAUCCAUAGCUGGUUUGAGAGGAUGAUCAGCCACACUGGGACUGAGACACGGCCCAGACUCCUACGGGAGGCAGCAGUGGGGGAAUCUUAGACAAUGGGGGAACCUGAUCUGGCCAUGCCGCGUGAUCGAUGAAGGCCUUAGGGUUGUAAAGAUCUUCAGGUGGGAAGAUAAUGACUGUACCACCAGAAGAAGCCCCGGCUAACUCCGUG